Molecule: ribosomal RNA, 252 nt
Filed under: uncultured bacterium
Lineage: Bacteria
Description: partial 16S ribosomal RNA
Rfam family: Bacterial small subunit ribosomal RNA
Source: RNAcentral
UACGUAGGUGGCAAGCGUUAUCCGGAUUUAUUGGGCGUAAAGGGAACGCAGGCGGUCUUUUAAGUCUGAUGUGAAAGCCUUCGGCUUAACCGGAGUAGUGCAUUGGAAACUGGGAGACUUGAGUGCAGAAGAGGAGAGUGGAACUCCAUGUGUAGCGGUGAAUGCGUAGAUAUAUGGAAGAACACCAGUGGCGAAAGCGGCUCUCUGGUCUGUAACUGACGCUGAGGUUCGAAAGCGUGGGUAGCAAACAGG